RNAcentral lists this ribosomal RNA (253 nucleotides) under uncultured bacterium. RNAcentral describes it as "partial 16S ribosomal RNA". It matches the Rfam family "Bacterial small subunit ribosomal RNA", at positions 524 to 776 of the family's 1533-position model. The record is from RNAcentral.
UACGUAGGGGGCAAGCGUUGUCCGGAAUUAUUGGGCGUAAAGAGCGUGUAGGCGGUUCGGUAAGUCGGCUGUGAAAGUCCAGGGCUCAACCCUGGGAUGCCGGUCGAUACUGCAGGACUAGAGUUCGGAAGAGGCGAGUGGAAUUCCCGGUGUAGCGGUGAAAUGCGCAGAUAUCGGGAGGAACACCUAUGGCGAAGGCAGCUCGCUGGGACGUUACUGACGCUGAGACGCGAAAGCGUGGGGAGCAAACAGG